CGGGGCGUGGCGCAGUCUGGUAGCGCACCUGCUUUGGGAGCAGGGUGUCGGGGGUUCAAAUCCCUCCGCCCCGACCA
RNAcentral lists this transfer RNA (77 nucleotides) under Deltaproteobacteria bacterium. RNAcentral describes it as "tRNA-Pro". It matches the Rfam family "tRNA". Rfam says of the family: Transfer RNA (tRNA) molecules are approximately 80 nucleotides in length. Their secondary structure includes four short double-helical elements and three loops (D, anti-codon, and T loops). Lineage: Bacteria; Pseudomonadati; Myxococcota; Myxococcia. The record is from RNAcentral. RNAcentral also lists the same sequence under 1 other name.